UCCAUCUUAACGAUGGCAGUCCUAUUAGAGUGCCCAACUUAAUGCUGGCAACUAAUAGCAAGGGUUGCGCUCGUUGCGGGACUUAACCCAACAUCUCACGACACGAGCUGACGACAGCCAUGCAGCACCUGUGCUCCGGCCCCUUUCGGGGAAGCCCUAUCUCUAGGGUUGUCCGGGCAUGCCAAACCCAGGUAAGGUUUUUCGCGUUGCAUCGAAUUAAACCACAUGCUCCACCGCUUGUGCGGGCCCCCGUCAAUUUCUUUGAGUUUUAAUCUUGCGACCGUACUCCCCAGGCGGGAUACUUAACGCGUUAGCUCCGACACUGAAGGGGUCAAUACCUUCAACAUCAAGUAUCCAUCGUUUACGGCGUGGACUAC
Molecule: unclassified non-coding RNA, 377 nt
Filed under: uncultured Pseudobdellovibrionaceae bacterium
Lineage: Bacteria; Pseudomonadati; Bdellovibrionota; Bdellovibrionia; Bdellovibrionales; Pseudobdellovibrionaceae
Description: uncultured Bdellovibrionaceae bacterium contains 16S-23S intergenic spacer region
Source: RNAcentral